This 493-nucleotide ribosomal RNA is filed under the name uncultured bacterium. Its description in RNAcentral is "partial 16S ribosomal RNA". It matches the Rfam family "Bacterial small subunit ribosomal RNA", at positions 30 to 523 of the family's 1533-position model. The record is from RNAcentral.
AUUGAACGCUGGCGGCAUGCCUUACACAUGCAAGUCGAACGGUAACAGGUUAAGCUGACGAGUGGCGAACGGGUGAGUAAUAUAUCAGAACGUGCCCAGUCGUGGGGGAUAACGUAGCGAAAGCUACGCUAAUACCGCAUACGAUCUACGGAUGAAAGCGGGGGAUCGCAAGACCUCGCGCGAUUGGAGCGGCCGAUAUCGGAUUAGGUUGUUGGUGAGGUAAAAGCUCACCAAGCCUGCGAUCUGUAGCUGGUCUGAGAGGACGACCAGCCACACUGGAACUGAGACACGGUCCAGACUCCUACGGGAGGCAGCAGUGGGGAAUUUUGGACAAUGGACGCAAGUCUGAUCCAGCAAUGCCGCGUGCAGAACGAAGGCCUUCGGGUUGUAAACUGCUUUUGUACGGAACGAAACGGUGAGCUCUAAUACAGUUUGCUAAUGACGGUACCGUAAGAAUAAGCACCGGCUAACUACGUGCCAGCAGCCGCCGUAA